This 76-nucleotide transfer RNA is filed under the name Francisella tularensis subsp. holarctica. Its description in RNAcentral is "tRNA-Thr". It matches the Rfam family "tRNA". Rfam says of the family: Transfer RNA (tRNA) molecules are approximately 80 nucleotides in length. Their secondary structure includes four short double-helical elements and three loops (D, anti-codon, and T loops). Lineage: Bacteria; Pseudomonadati; Pseudomonadota; Gammaproteobacteria; Thiotrichales; Francisellaceae. The record is from RNAcentral.
GCCGACUUAGCUCAAUAGGUAGAGCAACUGACGUGUACUCAGUAGGUCGCCAGUUCGCUUCCGGCAGUCGGCACCA